CCUACGGGGGCUGCAGUGGGGAAUAUUGGACAAUGGGCGAAAGCCUGAUCCAGCCAUGCCGCGUGUGUGAAGAAGGCCUUCGGGUUGUAAAGCACUUUCAGUGGGGAAGAAAGCCUUGGGGCUAAUACCCUCGAGGAAGGACAUCACCCACAGAAGAAGCACCGGCUAACUCCGUGCCAGCAGCCGCGGUAAUACGGAGGGUGCGAGCGUUAAUCGGAAUUACUGGGCGUAAAGCGCGCGUAGGCGGUCUGAUAAGCCGGUUGUGAAAGCCCCGGGCUCAACCUGGGAACGGCAUCCGGAACUGUCAGGCUAGAGUGCAGGAGAGGAAGGUAGAAUUCCCGGUGUAGCGGUGAAAUGCGUAGAGAUCGGGAGGAAUACCAGUGGCGAAGGCGGCCUUCUGGACUGACACUGACGCUGAGGUGCGAAAGCGUGGGUAGCAAACAGGAUUAGAUACCCCAGUAGUC
Molecule: ribosomal RNA, 464 nt
Filed under: Vreelandella stevensii
Lineage: Bacteria; Pseudomonadati; Pseudomonadota; Gammaproteobacteria; Oceanospirillales; Halomonadaceae
Description: partial 16S ribosomal RNA
Rfam family: Bacterial small subunit ribosomal RNA
Source: RNAcentral